UACGAAGGGGGCUAGCGUUGUUCGGAUUUACUGGGCGUAAAGCGCACGUAGGCGGCUCGAUCAGUCAGGGGUGAAAUCCCUGGGCUCAACCCUGGAACUGCCUUUGAUACUGUCGAUCUGGAGUAUGGAAGAGGUGAGUGGAAUUCCGAGUGUAGAGGUGAAAUUCGUAGAUAUUCGGAGGAACACCAGUGGCGAAGGCGGCGCACUGGUCCAUUACUGACGCUGAGGUGCGAAAGCGUGGGGAGCAAACAGG
RNAcentral lists this ribosomal RNA (253 nucleotides) under uncultured bacterium. RNAcentral describes it as "partial 16S ribosomal RNA". It matches the Rfam family "Bacterial small subunit ribosomal RNA", at positions 524 to 776 of the family's 1533-position model. The record is from RNAcentral.